GGAAGCGGGGGCCGCGCGUCGCCGGAAGCGGGUGUGGGGGCGGAGCCGGCUACGUCACCGCGAACGUCAGUAGUUGCCCCGCCCUUGCCGUCGCCGCCCUCCGGUGCUUAAAAGGCUCCAAUUUACACUGAGAUACUGCAGCCAGUUCCUCCAAAACAGAGAGCAAAAGCAGUAACUGCAUUCAUUCAAGAGAUGCUCCGUUCAUGGUAAAGUUGAGGAAAGGAACUCACAAUACUAACACAGCCUCUGAAAUCAGACCACUUAGGUUAAAAUCCUAGCUUGACCACUUACCAUCUGAAUGCUCUCCAGCAAGUUAUUUCAAUUCUUGGGUCUCAAUUUCCUCAUCUGUAAUAAUAGUAUUUAUCUCAGAGGAUGAUUGUGAAGAAUUAAUGAGUUAACAUUUGCAAACAGAAUACUUCAUGGGUGAUUUGUGUCCUCAGUGUGUUACAUCAUAGAAAACACGAUGUCAUUUUUUCCAUUUUGGUGACAUUAAGUUUGAACAUUUGAUUCAAGUGAUUUCCACCAGACUUCUACAUUUAUAAAGAGCCUUUGCUGUGAUAUGGCUGCCUGGCCUGGGACCACAUAUCCCAGUCUUCUCUGCAGCAAAGUGAUGGCCAUGUAACAAAGAUUUCACCAAUGGAAUAUGAGCAGAACUGAUAUAACUUCAGCUUCUCUUGCUUAAAAGAAAUCCUUGCACCUAGGAUCCUGCUCUUUCUCUUUGUUGGCUGGAAUAGUAACUAGAAUUACUUUAGAAGCCAUGUGUCAAAGAUAGCAGAACAUCCUACUCAGCCUGAAUCCUGGAACCAGAAUAAAAGAAAGAAAUAAACUCCUCUGUUCUUUAAGCUACUAAAUAUUGACUAUCUGUUUGUUACAGCACUGUAGCCUUUAACCAUAGCUAAUACGUGUAACUUACAACUGUUUAAAUUUAUUAUGAAAAAUAUUAAAUAACUUCCAACUGUGUGAAAAGGUAAGUAGUUUUUGUUUUGUUUUGCUUUCUUUUCUUUUAAGGGAUUCACAAGCAACAAAGUUUAAAGACUCCUGGGGUAGUUCCUACUUGAUUUCUGCUUCUUCACCUUCUAGUCACUCAGCGACCUAUUAUAUUCUUGUUCCCUUCCUCUCUAAAAAGAGAGUAUACGGAUUCCAAACAGGUUGAUGUGUUAAUC
This is a long non-coding RNA of Mirounga angustirostris (Northern elephant seal), 1163 nucleotides long. RefSeq lists it as uncharacterized. The record is from RefSeq and is a predicted model, not a curated record. NCBI's taxonomy places the organism in Eukaryota, Metazoa, Chordata, Mammalia, Carnivora, Phocidae. The transcript is spliced from 5 exons.